GACGAACGCUGGCGGCGUGCUUAACACAUGCAAGUCGAACGGAAAGGCCCUGCUUUUGUGGGGUGCUCGAGUGGCGAACGGGUGAGUAACACGUGAGUAACCUGCCCUUGACUUUGGGAUAACUUCAGGAAACUGGGGCUAAUACCGGAUAGGAGCUCCUGCUGCAUGGUGGGGGUUGGAAAGUUUCGGCGGUUUGGGAUGGACUCGCGGCUUAUCAGCUUGUUGGUGGGGUAGUGGCUUACCAAGGCUUUGACGGGUAGCCGGCCUGGGAGCGUGACCGGCGACAAUGGGACUACGAGAGGGCCCAGACGCCAACGGGAGGCAGCGGUGGGAAAUAUUACACAAUGGGCGGAAGCCUGAUACAGCAACGCCGCGUGCGGGAUGACGGCCUUCGGGUUGUAAACCGCUUUCGCCUGUGACGAAGCGUGAGUGACGGUAAUGAAUAAAGAAGCACCGGCUAACUACGUG
This 468-nucleotide ribosomal RNA is filed under the name uncultured bacterium. RNAcentral's name for it is "partial 16S ribosomal RNA". It matches the Rfam family "Bacterial small subunit ribosomal RNA", at positions 28 to 507 of the family's 1533-position model. The record is from RNAcentral.